Salmo salar (Atlantic salmon) is the source of this 73-nucleotide non-coding RNA. NCBI's taxonomy places the organism in Eukaryota, Metazoa, Chordata, Actinopteri, Salmoniformes, Salmonidae. The record is from Rfam.
UUCCCUGUGGCUCAGUUGGUAGAGCAUGGUGUUUGCAACGCCAGGGUUGUGGGUUCGAUUCCCACGGGGGGGG